RNAcentral lists this ribosomal RNA (500 nucleotides) under uncultured bacterium. RNAcentral's name for it is "bacterial SSU rRNA". It matches the Rfam family "Bacterial small subunit ribosomal RNA", at positions 30 to 518 of the family's 1533-position model. The record is from RNAcentral.
UGAACGCUGGCGGCGUGCCUAACACAUGCAAGUCGAACGGAGUUAAGACGCUGAUGAUGGAGAUGCUUGCAUCAAAAGAAUCUUGUUUAACUUAGUGGCGGACGGGUGAGUAACGUGUGGAUAACCUGGCCCAUACAGGGGGAUAGCAGCUGGAAACGGCUGAUAAUACCGCAUAAGCGCACAAUAUCGCAUGGUAAAGUGUGAAAAAGAUUUAUCGGUAUGGGAUGGAUCCGCAUCUGAUUAGCCAGUUGGCGGGGUAAAGGCCCACCAAAGCGACGAUCAGUAGCCGGCCUGAGAGGGCGGACGGCCACAUUGGGACUGAGACACGGCCCAGACUCCUACGGGAGGCAGCAGUGGGGGAUAUUGCACAAUGGGGGGAACCCUGAUGCAGCGACGCCGCGUGGGUGAAGAAGUAUUUCGGUAUGUAAAGCCCUAUCAGCAGGGACGAUAAUGACGGUACCUGAGUAAGAAGCCCCGGCUAACUACGUGCCAGCCGCGGC